CUCGGUGCUUCUAGCGAAGUGGAAACACCCGAUCCCUUUCCGAACUCGGCAGUUAAGCACUUCAGCGCCGAUGGUAGCCUCCGGGCAAGAGUAGGCCAGUGCCGAGA
This 107-nucleotide ribosomal RNA is filed under the name Candidatus Moraniibacteriota bacterium. Lineage: Bacteria; Candidatus Moraniibacteriota. The record is from RNAcentral.